RNAcentral lists this ribosomal RNA (469 nucleotides) under Heterorete sp. HURL P4-224-sp1. Its description in RNAcentral is "eukaryotic LSU rRNA". It matches the Rfam family "Eukaryotic large subunit ribosomal RNA", at positions 1511 to 1868 of the family's 3401-position model. The record is from RNAcentral. Lineage: Eukaryota; Metazoa; Porifera; Hexactinellida; Sceptrulophora; Euretidae.
ACGUGAACAGCAUUUGGACGUGGGUGAGUCGGUCCUAAGAGAUGGGCGAAAGCCUGGAUAGUAAGGGUGCAGAUGUACUGCCCUUCAGGGGGUAGUAUGUCCGGUUGGUUCUUCGGGGCCACGGUGGCACCAGCUCUCGAAAGGGUAUCGGGUUAACAUUCCCGAACCAGACACCUGGAUGCUGCUCGUUACUGCCUUCACGGGUGGUGCGAGUGGAGCACGGCAACGUAUAUAUGUUUACUCGGUGACGCUUGCGAUAGCCCUGGGAAGAGUUUUCUUUUCUUCUUAACCGUACCAACCGUGUGCACAGCCCUGGAAGCAGUUUACCUUGAGAGAGGGCUGGAGGUCGGGUAAAGCGCUGCACUUAUUGCAGCGUCCAGUGCGCUGUCGAGAGCCCUUGAAAAGCUGAGUCAGGACUGGACCAUGUUAGUCUCGUGUCUGGCCGUACCCAUCACCGCAUCAGGUCUCC